GAGGAAUAUUGGUCAAUGGGCGAGAGCCUGAACCAGCCAAGUAGCGUGCAGGAUGACGGCCCUAUGGGUUGUAAACUGCUUUUGUAUGGGGAUAAAGUCAAUCACGUGUGAUUGUUUGCAGGUACCAUACGAAUAAGGACCGGCUAAUUCCGUGCCAGCAGCCGCGGUAAUACGGAAGGUCCGGGCGUUAUCCGGAUUUAUUGGGUUUAAAGGGAGCGUAGGCCGUGGAUUAAGCGUGUUGUGAAAUGCAGGUGCUCAACGUCUGCACUGCAGCGCGAACUGGUCCACUUGAGUGUGCACAACGCAGGCGGAAUUCGUCGUGUAGCGGUGAAAUGCUUAGAUAUGACGAAGAACUCCGAUUGCGAAGGCAGCUUGCGGGAGCACAACUGACGCUGAAGCUCGAAAGUGCGGGUAUCGAACAGGAUUAGAUACCCUGGUAGUCCGCACAGUAAACGAUGGAUGCCCGCUGUUGGUACUUGGUAUCAGCGGCUAAGCGAAAGCAUUAAGCAUCCCACCUGGGGAGUACGCCGGCAACGGUG
RNAcentral lists this ribosomal RNA (539 nucleotides) under uncultured bacterium. Its description in RNAcentral is "bacterial SSU rRNA". It matches the Rfam family "Bacterial small subunit ribosomal RNA", at positions 356 to 896 of the family's 1533-position model. The record is from RNAcentral.